AGAGCGAACGCUGGCGGCAGGCUUAACACAUGCAAGUCGAGCGGGCGUAGCAAUGCGUCAGCGGCAGACGGGUGAGUAACGCGUGGGAACGUACCUUUGGUUCGGAACAACCCAGGGAAACUUGGGCUAAUACCGGAUAAGCCCUUACGGGGAAAGAUUUAUCGCCGAAAGAUCGGCCCGCGUCUGAUUAGCUAGUUGGUGAGGUAAUGGCUCACCAAGGCGACGAUCAGUAGCUGGUCUGAGAGGAUGAUCAGCCACAUUGGGACUGAGACACGGCCCAAACUCCUACGGGAGGCAGCAGUGGGAAUAUUGGACAAUGGGCGCAAGCCUGAUCCAGCCAUGCCGCGUGAGUGAUGAAGGCCCUAGGGUUGUAAAGCUCUUUUGUGCGGGAAGAUAAUGACGGUACCGCAAGAAUAAGCCCCGGCUAACUUCGUGCCAGCAGCCGC
This 446-nucleotide ribosomal RNA is filed under the name uncultured bacterium. Its description in RNAcentral is "SSU rRNA". It matches the Rfam family "Bacterial small subunit ribosomal RNA", at positions 26 to 518 of the family's 1533-position model. The record is from RNAcentral.